UAGGGAAUCUUCGGCAAUGGACGAAAGUCUGACCGAGCAACGCCGCGUGAGUGAAGAAGGUUUUCGGAUCGUAAAACUCUGUUGUUAGAGAAGAACAAGGACGUUAGUAACUGAACGUCCCCUGCCGGUAUCUAACCAGAAAGCCACGGCUAACUACGUGCCAGCAGCCGCGGUAAUACGUAGGUGGCAAGCGUUGUCCGGACUUAUUGGGCGUAAAGCGAGCGCAGGCGGUUGCUUAAGUCUGAUGUGAAAGCCCCCGGCUCAACCGGGGAGGGUCAUUGGAAACUGGGAGACUUGAGUGCAGAAGAGGAGAGUGGAAGUCAAUGUGUAGCGGGGAACUGCGUAGAUAUAUGGAGGAACACCAGUGGCGAAGGCGGCUAUCAGGUCUGUAACGGACGAUGAGGCUAGAAAGCGUGGGGAGGAAACAGG
RNAcentral lists this ribosomal RNA (429 nucleotides) under Gemmatimonadota bacterium. RNAcentral describes it as "Gemmatimonadetes bacterium partial 16S ribosomal RNA". It matches the Rfam family "Bacterial small subunit ribosomal RNA", at positions 355 to 776 of the family's 1533-position model. The record is from RNAcentral. Lineage: Bacteria; Pseudomonadati; Gemmatimonadota.